GAGGGUUACAGCUCUUUUAGAAUUUGUCUAGCAGGCUUUCCGGUUUUUGCCAGAAAACCCCU
Molecule: small nuclear RNA, 62 nt
Organism: Aotus nancymaae (Ma's night monkey)
Lineage: Eukaryota; Metazoa; Chordata; Mammalia; Primates; Aotidae
Gene: U7
Rfam family: U7 small nuclear RNA
About the family: Animal histone pre-mRNAs are spliced by a different mechanism than nuclear pre-mRNAs and self-splicing introns.
Source: Ensembl